CCUACGGGUGGCAGCAGUGGGGAAUAUUGCACAAUGGGGGAAACCCUGAUGCAGCGACGCCGCGUGGGUGAAGAAGUCUUUCGGUAUGUAAAGCCCUAUCAGCAGGGAAGAAAAAUGAUGGUACCUGACUAAGAAGCACCGGCUAAAUACGUGCCAGCAGCCGCGAUAAUACGUAGGGGGCAAGCGUUAUCCGGAAUUACUGGGUGUAAAGGGAGCGUAGACGGUAAUGCAAGUCUGGAGUGAAAGGCUGGGGCCCAACCCCCGGACUGCUCUGGAAACUGUGUAACUGGAGUGCAGGAGAGGCAGGCGGAAGUCCUAGUGUAGCGGUGAAAUGCGUAGAUAUUAGGAGGAACACCAGUGGCGAAGGCGGCCUGCUGGACUGUAACUGACGUUGAGGCUCGAAAGCGUGGGGAGCAAACAGGAUUAGAUACCCGGGUAGUC
This 441-nucleotide ribosomal RNA is filed under the name uncultured bacterium. RNAcentral's name for it is "partial 16S ribosomal RNA". It matches the Rfam family "Bacterial small subunit ribosomal RNA", at positions 338 to 795 of the family's 1533-position model. The record is from RNAcentral.